UACAGAGGGGGCAAGCGUUAUUCGGAAUUAUUGGGCGUAAAGGGCGCGUAGGUGGUUCUUCAAGUCUCUCGUGAAAUCCCUCGGCUUAACUGAGGACGUGCGGGAGAUACUGAAGGGCUUGAGUCCGGAAGAGGGUGGUGGAAUUCCCAGUGUAGCGGUGAAAUGCGUAGAUAUUGGGAGGAACACCGGUGGCGAAGGCGGCCACCUGGGCCGGAACUGACGCUGAGGCGCGAAAGCGUGGGGAGCAAACGGG
Molecule: ribosomal RNA, 253 nt
Filed under: uncultured bacterium
Lineage: Bacteria
Description: partial 16S ribosomal RNA
Rfam family: Bacterial small subunit ribosomal RNA
Source: RNAcentral